GAGUGAUCGAAAGAUGAAAAGCACUUUGAAAAGAGAGUUAAACAGCACGUGAAAUUGUUGAAAGGGAAGCGUUUGCGACCAGACUCGCCCGCGGGGUUCAGCCGGCACUCGUGCCGGUGUACUUCCCCGUGGGCGGGCCAGCGUCGGUUUGGGCGGCCGGUCAAAGGCCCUCGGAAUGUAUCACUCUCGGGGUGUCUUAUAGCCGAGGGUGCAAUGCGGCCUGCCCGGACCGAGGAACGCGYUCGGY
Molecule: ribosomal RNA, 247 nt
Filed under: Aspergillus fischeri var. fischeri
Lineage: Eukaryota; Fungi; Ascomycota; Eurotiomycetes; Eurotiales; Aspergillaceae
Description: partial large subunit ribosomal RNA
Rfam family: Eukaryotic large subunit ribosomal RNA
Source: RNAcentral